This 404-nucleotide ribosomal RNA is filed under the name Actinomycetes bacterium. RNAcentral describes it as "Actinobacteria bacterium partial 16S ribosomal RNA". It matches the Rfam family "Bacterial small subunit ribosomal RNA", at positions 355 to 776 of the family's 1533-position model. The record is from RNAcentral. Lineage: Bacteria; Bacillati; Actinomycetota; Actinomycetes.
UGGGGAAUAUUGGACAAUGGGCGCAAGCCUGAUCCAGCCAUGCCGCGUGAGUGAUGAAGGCCCUAGGGUUGUAAAGCUCUUUCACCGGUGAAGAUAAUGACGGUAACCGGAGAAGAAGCCCCGGCUAACUUCGUGCCAGCAGCCGCGGUAAUACGAAGGGGGCUAGCGUUGUUCGGAUUUACUUGUCGUAAAGCGCACGUAGGCGGACUUUUAAGUCAGGGGUGAAAUCCCGGGGCUCAACCCCGGAACUGCCUUUGAUACUGGAAGUCUUGAGUAUGGUAGAGGUGAGUGGAAUUCAGAGUGUAGAGGUGAAAUUCGUAGAUAUUCGGAGGAACACCAGUGGCGAAGGCGGCUCACUGAACCAUUACUGACGCUGAGGUGCGAAAGAGUGGGGAGCAAACAGG